RNAcentral lists this non-coding RNA (148 nucleotides) under Gorilla gorilla gorilla (western lowland gorilla). Lineage: Eukaryota; Metazoa; Chordata; Mammalia; Primates; Hominidae. The record is from Rfam by way of RNAcentral.
GCUGGGUAUGGUGGUGCGUGCCUAUAAUCCGAGCUACUCAGGAGGCUGAGGCAAGAGAAUUGCUUGAACCCGGGGGGCAGAGGUUGCAGUGAGCUGAGAUAGUGCCACUGCACUCCAGCCUGGGUGACAGAGCAAGACUUUGUCUCAA